This 460-nucleotide ribosomal RNA is filed under the name uncultured bacterium. RNAcentral's name for it is "partial 16S ribosomal RNA". It matches the Rfam family "Bacterial small subunit ribosomal RNA", at positions 338 to 795 of the family's 1533-position model. The record is from RNAcentral.
CCUACGGGGGGCAGCAGUGAGGAAUAUUAGUCAAUGGACGAGAGUCUGAACCAGCCAAGUAGCGUGAAGGAUGACUGCCCUAUGGGUUGUAAACUUCUUUUAUAAAGGAAUAAAACGAGGCACGUGUGCCUUUUUGCAUGUACUUUAUGAAUAAGGAUCGGCUAACUCCGUGCCAGCAGCCGCGGUAAUACGGAGGAGCCGAGCGUUAUCCGGAUUUAUUGGGUUUAAAGGGAGCGUAGAUGGGUUGUUAAGUCAGUUGUGAAAGUUUGCGGCUCAACCGUAAAAUUGCAAUUGAUACUGGCAGUCUUGAGUACAGUUGAGGUAGGCGGAAUUCGUGGUGUAGCGGUGAAAUGCUUAGAUAUCACGAAGAACCCCGAUUGCGAAGGCAGCUUACUAAACUGUGACUGACAUUGAUGCUCGAAAGUGUGGGGAUCAAACAGGAUUAGAUACCCUUGUAGUC